UGAUACUGGUCUUCUUUGGGUCAAAGGAUUUCCUGCAUGACUUCGUCUGGAUUCAACAACACAAAGUAAUGACUUUUGCAUUCAGUGCAAGAAGAUCAAGAAUUUGCCUCUGCACCAAGUUGCAAAAUAACAGUGUAGUUAUUAUUCUCUUGUCUGAUUUUCAUAAGCUUUUUAAAGGAGGCAUUUUAUUUCUGGAGAAACAGUCACAGUUUGAUUUAGUCUUCAUGUCCAAUACAUGGAGGAACUUUUAGUUCCUGAAUAAGCAAGGACUUUUUGUCCUGCUUGUGAAACUUACCUAAAGUAAGCUCAGGAAUGUAUUUUCUCAGAUAAUACUAUCCAGACUUCAUUAUAAUAUCGUUGAAUUUGAAAAUAAGUAAAAACUCAAAACUCCUUGUCCAUAUGUGUGGUUCAUUUUAACAGAAAUUUCAAUUAAGUGAGAAGAUACAGUGCUGGGUUAAAAAUCCUCCUUAUCUCGUUCUCACAAGCAGUUUGAGUAGCCUUUCCGUGAUGUCUGUUUUUGAAUUCGCAUAGCUCACAGGCUUCCUUGGGUGUCAGGACCAGAUCUUAACAAUCUUUGAGCUCUCAGAGCUCAGCCUUGUAGUCAGUGGAAAUUCUUCCCAUGAAAACCCGCCAUCCUCUGGUGCCCAGUCACACAAUUUCAAACUGGCAAGGAUCUAAAGUGAGUUCUUUCAGUAGCUACCAGUGCGUCUCAGAACUGAAUCUACUUGAUGCAGAAGAGCUGUUUUGAGUAAACUCCAGAGGUCAGCUGAAACCCCACACCGGACGGAACCCUGUCCCAGCUGCAGGAGUCCCCUGCCCGCUGCGCGCUCCCCCUACACGCGGCAUCUCUAAGAAACCACCCGCGCGAGGCUAUUUUUGGCGGACACAAGUUUCUUUCAGUGAUAGACCAAAAUCGCGGGGGAAAGAAGGCUCUCUUUGGGGGUCAAAGGGGAACCACGAGAGUGUUUUAACAGUGUAGUUUCCCAGGAACACGGGCAGGGUGGGGGUUCCCUUGGCGCGCUCGGUGAGCUCUGGAAAACACGCCUGCAGCUCCGCGGACGCGCGCUCUCCGGAAGGCAGUGUCUCCCUGCACCGCUUUUUCCUAAUGGAUUUCCAUUUCAUCGAUCGGGACCUAGAUGCUGGCUAGCAAUUAGUCCUAAUCAGGCAGCAGGAGCGUCCUGGGGGGACUGCCAGCUAGCCUAAUUGCUGGCAGCUGCGGGGACGCCCCGCGCGCAGCUGCGGGGCACCGGCUGUUAACCCUUAGUGUCCCGGGCUCCACACGGAGGCUCGGCCCGGCAAAACUGCGGCAGGUGUGGGGAUCGGCGGCUUAUCUUUAUUUUG
This is a long non-coding RNA of Dama dama (fallow deer), 1341 nucleotides long. RefSeq lists it as uncharacterized. The transcript is spliced from 3 exons. Lineage: Eukaryota; Metazoa; Chordata; Mammalia; Artiodactyla; Cervidae. The record is from RefSeq and is a predicted model, not a curated record.